RNAcentral lists this transfer RNA (76 nucleotides) under Nocardia sp. CS682. RNAcentral describes it as "tRNA-Arg". It matches the Rfam family "tRNA". Rfam says of the family: Transfer RNA (tRNA) molecules are approximately 80 nucleotides in length. Their secondary structure includes four short double-helical elements and three loops (D, anti-codon, and T loops). The record is from RNAcentral. Lineage: Bacteria; Bacillati; Actinomycetota; Actinomycetes; Mycobacteriales; Nocardiaceae. RNAcentral also lists the same sequence under 1 other name.
GCGCUCGUAGCUCAAUGGACAGAGCACCUGGUUACGAACCAGGGGGUUGGAGGUUCGAGUCCUCCCGUGCGCACCA